CCUUCACAUCAUUGGAGUAUAUAAAAGGAUUUAAAGUUUAGGGGGAAAUAACAAACAGUGGGGGGCAGUAAUACGCCAUAGCUGUGUCAAGGCUGCCUAAAUAAAAGAAGAAGAAGUUACGCCUCCAGAUAUAGGAAGUUCUCUGUUUGCAGACGAUGGGGCUUUGUGGAAAAGGGGAAGAAAUGUGAUGCAUAUUAUUAGUAAAGUCCAGUCUGCAAUUGAUGGGGUGACAGAGGAUUUGACUGGGGGUGCAGUUUUUCAGUCGAGAAAACUCAAACUGUAUUUUUCACUAUAGGAAAAGAAUUGAGGAUGGGAUGAAAUUGAGGAUGUAUGGGAAAGAGUUGGAGAGAGUUGGCUAAUUUAAAUAUUUGGGAGUUAUUUUUGAUUAUAGGGUAACAUGGGCAGACCAUAUUAGGAAGAUAGAGGAUAAAUGCAAAAAGGUAAUAAAUGUGAUGAGAUGUUUGACUGGUAGGGAUUGGGGAGCGAGCUGUUCAGCUUUAAAGACUAUAUAUGUAGCUAUGAUUAGAUCUGUGUUUGAUUAUGGGUGUAUAGUGUUUGGGUCAGCCGCAGUGUCUCUCUUGAGAAAGCAGGACGUGAUUCAGGCCAAGGCAUUAAGGGUAUGCAGUGGGGCUUUUAAAUCAUCACCAGUGCCUGCUCUGCAGGUAGAAAUGGGGGAAAUUCCGCUGGAGUUGAGGAGGAAACAAUUGAUGGGGAACUAUUGGGCUAAUCUGCGAGGGCAGAGUGAGUCUCACCCCACAGAAGGAGUGUUGAAAGAGUGCUGGGUUUAUGGGAAGUGUGAGAGGAAUCAUUUUGGUCGGAAUGAUAUAGCGAAAGAGUUUGGUGUGGGUGAAUUGAAGCUUAGUCCAACAGUGGUAUAUCCAUUAAUGCCGCCAUGGAGGAUGGUGUGGCCAGAGGUGGACUGGUUUGUGUUGGAUAUAAAGAAGAGAGAGAGAGAACACAUAGACCUGGCUAGUGUUUUUAAUAUUCAUCUUCUUAUAGAGCACAGUGAGUAUGUUCAUGUUUUUACAGAUGGUGCCAAACAACCUGAGACAGGAGUGACAGGGUUUGGAGUAGUUGUUCCAUCAAAAAGAAUUGAAUUUAAUGGAAGAAAAUCGGAUAAUUUGAGCGUUUAUACAGUGGAGAUGUUGGGGGUGCUGGUCGCAUUAAAAUGGGUGGAAUCAAGUACAGUGGAAACAAUUGUGAUCUUCACAGAUUCAGCAUCUGUUUUGGCAAGUAUGAGGUUGUUUUAUUCAAGUAGUCGCCAAGGUUUGUUAUAUGAAGUUCUACAGUCAAUUACGAGAAUCGUUCAGCAGGGGAGGCAAAUACAUUUUUUAUGGGUUCCAGCUCAUGUAGGGGUGAAGGGAAAUGAGAAAGCCGAUAAGAUGGCGAAGAAGGCAUUGGAGAAGGAAAAAGUAUAAAUGAUUAUCAGUUUAAGUAAGGCAGUAGUUAAAAGCCUGAUAUGGGAAAAAGUUAACAAAAUGUGGCAAGACAAAUGGGACAGUGAGGAGAAAGGGAGAUAUUUAUAUAAUAUUCAAUAAAGUGUUAAUGUUAAAAUAAGGUAUAGUGGUCAGAGGAAGGAUGAACACAUUUUGAUAAGGUUAAGGUUGGGGCACAGUGCACUAAAUAAAACAAUGAAUUUGAUAGGAAAACACCCCACCGGAUUAUGUGAGGGGUGCCAGGUAGAGGAGACAGUGGAACAUGUUUUAAUGAACUGUAGUGGUUAUGGGAUGGAGAGGGAAAGUAUGAAAAAUCAAUUGAGAGAAUUGGGUAUGCAGGAGUUUACUUUGGAAAAUAUUUUAAGAUUAAUGAAGAGGAAUUGUAUAUAAGUAUUGUUUGGCUUUUUGAGAGAAACAGGGUUAUAUGAUAGGAUAUAGAGUAGAAAGAAGGUGUGAAUGAGUGAGUGUUUGGAUAUUUUUUUUUUGUUUUGAUUCAUUAACUAGAUCAGAAGAGGGCGGUAAUGCACCAAGUUGUGAAUGCCAACCGCCGUAAAACCCCAAGAAGAAGAAGCGAAGGAUGGGUGGUAUCAGGAGGGAAUAUGCCCUACCAGCAAUUAGGUAUAAUGGUGAAAUCAUGGUGACAAACAAAGACAAGGCAGAAGCUUUGGCUAAAUCAUUCGCUAAAAUACAUAGCUCUGCUAAUCUGACCCAGGAGGCAAGAGCAGGUAGGGAUGAAGUGAUUAGGGUACAUCCCAACACAGUAAGGAAAAAGAAUGACACCGCAGAGGCAUCAAAUGUUUGUUUUUCCUUGUUUGAGUUGAAACGAGCUUUAGCAGGUGUUAGAAAUACAUCCCCUGGUAAGGAUGAGAUAUGUUAUAAAAUGGUGGUCAAUUUAACUCCUCAAGCACAGAUGGUGAUCCUGCAGCUUUUCAAUAGGGUUUGGGAAUCAGGGACACUACCAUUGGCAUGGAAACACUCUGUGGUUAUCCCAAUUGGGAAACCAGGAAAAGAUAAGAGUGAAGUGACUAGCUAUAGGCCAAUAGCCCUGACCUCUAAAAUGUGUAAGGUAAUGGAGCAUAUGGUUACGGAUAGAUUAACCUACAUAGUAGAAAGCAGGAGCAUGAUUAGUCCAAGUCAGAGUGGUUUCCGUAGAGGGAGGACGACCAUGGACCCUGUGCUGUGUUUGGAGAAUAUAGUUAGAAAGGCCCAGGCAAAUAAGGAGAUGGUAGACGCCAUCCUUUUUGAUGUUGAAAAGGCGUAUGACAUGUUGUGGCGGGAUGGUCUCCUUAUUAAGCUUGAAAGCAUGGGAAUAGGUGGGAGGAUGUUUAAUUGGGUAUUGGAUUUCCUUAAGGAUAGAACUAUGGAAGUGAGGGUGGGGGCAACCCAUUCUAGGGUCUAUCCUACAGAGAAUGGAGUUCCACAAGUGUGUGCAGUCCAUUACUCUUUAGUGUUAUGAUUAAUGACAUUUUCUCAGAGGUUGAUGCUAGUCUUGGAAGGUCUCUGUAUGCAGAUGAUGGGGCGUUGUGGGUUAAAGGCCGUAAUGGUACGUUUGCUGAAAAGAAGCUACAGGCAGCUGUAAGCACAGUAGAGAAAUGGGGUAAUAAGUGGGGCUUCCGUUUCUCAGUUGAGAAGACUCAAGUGAUAUGCUUUUCCAGGAAGAGGGAAAAUCCAAUCUUACGAAUCGUACUCUAUGGACAAAUGGUAAAGCAAGUACAAGUUAUUCGGUUUCUGGGAGUCUGGAUGGAUAGUAAGCUGACCUUUGGAGAGCAUAUCCAGAGAGGAGUGAUGCAACCUAAUGAGGUGCUUAGCUGGAAGUAGCUGGGGCGCCAGUAUGAAAUCUCUUAAGCAAAUGUACAUUGCCAUAAUUAGAUCUGCAUUAGACUAUGCGUGUAUUGCAUAUGGUUCAGCUGCAAAGUCACAUCUUACCAAAUGUGAUGUAAUACAGGCACAGGCCAUCCGGCUGUGUUGUGGGGCAUUCAAGACUUCAUCAGUUGCAGCUCUACAGGUGGAGGUUGGAGAGUUACCAUUAUAUUUGAGGCGUAGGCAGUUGUCCAUGGUAUACUGGACUAAUUUGCAAGGGCACAAACAAGAUCAUCCAACCAAAUCAGUUCUAGAGCCAUGCUGGGAGCAUGGGCGCACAAAGCUAAAUAGUUUUGGAUGGGUAGGAGAUAGCACUGCCAGGGAGUUAGGGAUAUCCAAUUUAACACAUAGCUGUACAGUACCACUACCAGCAACUCCCCCGUGGCUUUUCCCCAUGCCUACUGUAGAUCUUGAAAUUAUUAAGAAAUCAAAACAAUGUAAUGAAUUUGGAGGGAUGAAUAGUUAGAUACAACAGUAUAUAUGUGAUAAGUAUAACGGGUCAAUUCAAAUUUUUACAGACGGGUCAAAAGAUCCAGACACAGGUAGGACAGGGGCUGCAGUACACAUACCACAGUUUAAUGUAUCAAUUAUCAAAAGAACGUCAGAUCAUUUAGCAGUAUUCACAGUGGAGCUGUUAGCCAUUUUAUUGGCUCUCUGGUGGAUAGAAGAGGGAAGGUCAAGUAGAUGCAUCAUUUGCUCAGACUCAAUGGCAGCUCUAGUCAGCAUUUCAAAUGGCAAAUCUACCUGUAGGCCUGAUCUAGUUUAUGAGGUUCUUCAGAGUUUGUUUAAAAUAGAAAGGAUGCAAAUAACGGUGGGCUUUUUAUGGGUCCCAUCCCAUGCUGAAGUAGAAGGCAAUGAGGUUGUCGACAUGUUGGCAAAAAAGGCACUGAAACAGGAUAUACAGCUGGGUGUUCCAUUAAGUAAAUCUGAAGUUAAAACAAUAAUUAAAUCUGAAAUCAACAAGGUGUGGCAAGAACAAUGGGAUAGGGAAAAUAAGGGUCGGUUCCUGCAUAGAAUCCAGAGGCAGGUGGUAACAAGGAGACAGGGCUGCUGGAACCGAAGAUGUGAGGUUAUCAUCACAAGACUACGCAUAGGGCACACAUGUCUUAACCACAGUCUGAACAUCAUAGGCAAACAUGAAACAGGGGUCUGCCCAAAAUGUAAUGGAAGAGAAACAGUGGAGCAUGUUUUACCACAAUGUGAAGCGUACAAUUUGGAGAGAAGGGAGCUGUUGAAAAAUGUUAAAGCUUUGCGUCAAACAAGCUUGACCUUAGAGGGUUUACUCUCCUUUUCCUCACUGAGACCACCAGCAUGGAAACAUGUAUUGAGUUAUCUAAAAGCAACAGGUUUAUUUGACAGAUUAUAAUUUAAUCUGUGGUUUUUUAUCUAUAUGAUUUUGUUUAUUUACUUUUGUUUGUUGUUGUUUUUGCAUAGUUUAUAACGUAUAACCUCCAUCGAAGCUCUAAAACAAACAGUAGGUGGCGGUAAUGCCCCAUUUUGGUUUGCCAACCGCCAAAUAAACUCAAAAGAAGAAGAAGAAGAAGAAGAAGUAGAAGAAGAAGAAGAAGAAGAAGAAGAACGAAUCAUCGCAGUUGCUCAGUGUUUGGAUGUACAAAACCUCGAAAAACAGGCCAGCUCAUCAAGUGCUUACAUUCAGCAGCUUCUCUCAGGGAUGUUGCCUGCCAGACGGAGCACCUGGAAACGCAUACUGUAGGCACACAGCUAUCCUUAAAGUCUUUGCAGCCCCAUUUUAAAAAUGAAGGUGUUUACUUGAAUCCACAAAAAAAAAUACACAGGCAAGACAUUGAAAUUGCAGGGCGUGCCAAGCCGCGACCGAACCAGCUUGGCAGUGUAAAAACGCCUAAUCUGUCAGUAGUGGGGAUUGACAACUAUUCUGUGAAAAUGAAAGAAUGUCUUGUGUUUGUUUCCUUCUUUAUGUGUAAAGCAGCAGACCCCAGACACCAUUUCAAUCAAGGUUGAAGAGGAUAUUGGUGGAGGCAUGCCCGGCACAGAAGACUGCGAUGCCUUUGGACACCGUAGCACUCAGCGUGGCGCCACCUCAGAGAUUCUGGCGGUGGUCGCCCCUGGCUCCUCCCACAUGUCCAGUCACAGCGAGGAACUGGUGGUUAGCAGAAUAAAGAAUAUUUUGGCAUUUUUGCACUUGUAAAUAGUUAAUCGCGUUUUAAACUACACUCGGAUGUGAACUCAUUCUCGCAUGCGAGGGUCUCGAAUCCACAAAAAACAAAUACACAGGCAAGACAUUGAAAUUGCAGGGCGUGCCAAGCCGCGACCGAACCAGCUUGGCAGUGUAAAAACGCCUAAUCUGUCAGUAGUGGGGAUUGACAACUAUUCUGUGAAAAUGAAAGAAUAUGUCUUGUGUUUGUUUCCUUCUUUAUGUGGAAAGCAGCAGACCCCAGACACCAUUUCAAUCAAGGUUGAAGAGGAUAUUGGUGGAGGCAUGCCCGCCGUAGACUGCGAUGCCUUUGGACACCGUAGCACUCAGCGCGGCGCCACCUCAGAGAGUCUGGGUGUGGACGGCCCUUGCUCCUCCCACCUGUCCAUCUACAGCGAGGAACUGAAGAUUCUGAGCGUCUACGGAAAAGGGGAGGGCCCACUGGCGGUGGACGGCCAUGACACCCUCUUCACAGCGUCAGAAGUGGAGGCCCUGAACUCGCUGUCUGCGGACCACAGCGCGGCCAAGAGCCUGGAGCGCGGCGAGCGGCUGGUAGGCCGCGAGGAGCUGAGUGUGCAGGUUGGAAAUCAUCUUCUCAUUCACCAUCAAAAGAGAGACUUCCUCUGUUACAACUCUAAAACAGACCCAUAGAAAGCCCACACCUUUAUGAUUCAGUAAACGUUUUUACACUCCCAAAUAUGUCCGCCUUAUGCCCAACUUUUCCCCUGUGUGAUCCGCGCGUUUACACUGACCGAGGUAAUCGACCGGCUUUAUUUCGCACCCCUAUUAGGCAAGGCAAGGCAACUUUAUUUAUAUAACAAUUUUCAUACACAGGGCAGACUCAAAGUGCUUCACAUAUAAACAUUGUCAUACAAUAAAAUGUAAUUAUGGAUAAGUAAAAGAAAACAUAUGCAAAGAAAUGAGUAAAAUAGAAAGUGCAAUGUAUUUAAGGUCAGGGGCCGUAUCCACAAAGGAUUUUAGGGUAUAAGUAGGUCCUAACUGGCGAAUUUAGGAGUUACUCCUAAAAAUAAUGGGUGUGUCACUCUUAAAUUUAGGACUCCUAACUUUUUUCACUAAGAGCAAUUCACAAAGUAUUUUAGGCCUAAAAGUAGCACCUAAGUCUAGACCUAUUAUUUGUGAAUAGGUCUUACUGAACUCAGUAAGACCUAUUCACAAAGAAUCGUAAAUGCCUGCGAGACGAAAUGUUAGGGUAUUAAACUUGUUGUGGAGUUAAUCGCGAUGCAAUAACAUCCCCGACUAACAGGAAUAAUCAGAUUAGUCCCGAAAUAAAAUGUUUGGCCACACUACGUUAUUUAGCAACAGGGGAAAUGCAACUUUGCAAUGCCGACGAUUUAAAAAUAUCGCAACCAUCAGUCAGCCGUGCCAUAAACUUUCCUUUGGACAUUCAACAAUUACACAGGAUCCAAGCCAACUUCAUGGCAAUUGCAGGUAUGCCCGGUGUGGUCGGUGCUAUUGACGGGACGCACAUAAAAAUAAUUGCGCCAUCAAAAGACGAGGACUUGUUCGUCAAUAGGAAGAAAGUGCAUUCCAUCAACACGCAGGUUGUUUUUGAUUCAAAUUUUAACAUAGCCUACUGGAUGUUGUUGCAAAGUGGCCUGGAUCUUCAGCUACCUAUGAUUCGCGCAUUUUAAUGGAGAGCGGUCUGAGGCAGCUUUUUGAGAUGUAGGCUACCAGUUUGGUGUCACUUGCUGGGAGACAGUGACUAUCCAUGCAAGACGUGGCUCUAGACACCCUACCUCAAUCCACAACCGGGAGCACAGUUAAAGUAUAACAUGUAAGUGAUUACGCAUAUUACGCUUAGUCCUAUGUGUAAAACGCAUCGUAUUGGCUCUUUGACGCCUUUUAUUUGGUGAAUCCAUAUUUAUUAUUGUUUACUGAUUUCUUCCAUAUAUGCUAGAGCACACAAACAUACACGAAAUGUUGUGGAGAGAGGAAUUGGGCAGAUGAAACGUCGGUUCAUGUCCUCCACGGCGAAAUACGCCUCACCCCAGAGAGGGCAAGCACAGUCAUUACUGUAUGUGCCAUUCGACACAACCUCUGCAAGCGGAGGAACAUUCCACAGCAUUGAUGAUGAUGAU
RNA transcript from Gadus macrocephalus (Pacific cod), 7568 nucleotides. RefSeq lists it as uncharacterized. NCBI's taxonomy places the organism in Eukaryota, Metazoa, Chordata, Actinopteri, Gadiformes, Gadidae. The transcript is spliced from 5 exons. The record is from RefSeq and is a predicted model, not a curated record.